UCUUUCACGUGGCAGAUUAUGUGGGCAGGAAAUAUUCUCACUCUUUACCCUGUGGAUGACUGAUUCCAGACCUGACCAAGUGCAAGCAAGCACGUCUCCUCCAUCUAAAUGAUUCAGUGAAUGAUCCAAAUGAUCUGACACCGAGAAAAAGGAGAGAAGGGAAAACUCUGUCCCGGUGUUGCUGGAUGCACCUAACAUUUUUCUUCCUGUUUUCAGCAGGGUGUUUCAGAUCAGACUGGGGAAGGCUGCAGAUCAGUGCACAGGUGACGUCUCUCUAGCAGGUGUUUCAUUUCCAGUAAGCCAGGUUUGUGCCUUGGGAUGAUUCACCGCGACACCCGAGUCCCUUUUAUAAGGGGUGGCCACAACUUUCCGACCCCAUUUUUUCCAAAGCUUUUCAGGCAUAUUUGAGUUCAGCCACUCCAGUUCCGUAACCAGUCUCCCUGCGUGAUGUGUUCAUUUACCAGUUACCUUGGUGCCUUCGUUAGGCUGCGUCCACAGCCUGGAGGGAAGUGAGGAGGUCAGGUUCUGCAGGAGGGAUGCAGCUGAUGGAAAGGGAGCGGAGAGGAUUUAAGCUAUAUUAAGAUUUCAGCACAUCUGCAGCAAGAGAAGAAGCGCUUCCACCAGAAAUGAUCCCUUGGGAGCAGCAAAAGCCUCUGAAGAAGCAAUAUUUGGAUGGGAAACUUAUGUCCUCCAAGCUGGCAAGUUGUAACACCGACACAGCUCAUUCCUGUAGCUGCAAAGCUCUGCCUGCAAAAGGCAGGCGCUGAAAUCCCAGGAGCUGGAGCAUGGAGGGCACAAGCCCAGGAGGGAUCCUUGGGGACAGGGCAAGUCCCUGAAGUCCCCUCCUGCCACCGAGACCACCAGGCUCAGAGGCGGCCUGUGGUGAAAGGAAGCCUGUGAAAACAACCCCAGCAGGAGGCAAGCUUGUUGAACACCCCAGGGAACAAGGCAGUGAGACUGCUCCUGAAUUCUCAGGAGCUGUGAAUUACCUGAGCGAGCAGAGCCCUGAGCAGCAGCAUCACAGCCAGCAUCCGACCAGGGGCUGCACCCAGGGACACCACGGAGCUGCAGGAGGGCACGCACCUGACAGCCCCAUGAAGUCCUCAUCCUGUUAUCUACGUGUCACAAAUAAAUGGAAAGAGGCAAACUGCAAAAUGACUUCACUCCCACCUUUUAGACGAGCCUCUCAGAUAGCAAGUGGCUCCUCAAGAAAGCAUGCACAAUUUAGUGCUAUUUCAGAAGUGAUCUGGCUGCUAAGCUGCACGAGGCUAUCUUCCCAGUAUGAAUCGAGCUCGCCGAGCCUCUGAUGCCAGCUCUUAUCCUCCUUGACCCUGCCUGUUGAUACAAAACCAUGGCAGAAAGUGCUGAUUCUCUCCAGGUGUCAGAAACCCUGAGAACACCAGAGGUUUGGCCCGGCUGGGAUAGCAGGUUUGUUGUCACCAAGUGUUGGUCCUUGUGCGGGUUCGAGGCUGCAGAAAAGCUCACGAGCCCUUUAAAGUCUGCUAAUGUGGAUUUUGUUUUCUUUUGGAGAGAAUGUGUCAGGUACAAAAGAAGAAAACACAAAGCCCUUUACGGUGCUGGGAAGGAAGGUGAUGCCCGGCAGUUGUGGCCAGCUGGCUCAGAAAAUUGUGCCCUUCAGAGCCUGCUUUGCCUGCCGUGGGGUUUUAUCUUUCUUGCUCAAGUCCUUGAAUUAUUUUGAUAAUGAAGAGGCCAGGAGAGGCAUUGCUCUACUCUUUAAAAGCAGUGAAACAAAAUUUCCAACUGUGAGCUUUGGACCGAAUUGUCUGAUGAGGAAAAAAUACAACUGUAAAGGCAAACAAAGGAAAAGGCAGUGCUUCUAAUGGAACUAGCUGUGCAACCACCUGGAAAUUUUGGCUACACCUGUAAAAACUCCAGGAAGCCGCCAGGCCACAAAGGCAAAAUAUCUGCAUGUGGUUUGCACCAGAAAAAGGGAACUCAGGACCAAUUAUAGGAUUGUAACCAGCCUGGUCCUGCCUGGGGCACUGCAGCCGGCAGCAGACCUUGCAUCAGGACCAUCCGAGACCUGGUGCAGCAAGGGGACAGGAGUCGGCCCCUCGCCGAGAUGGGAGGUGUAGGGCUGAGGAAGAUCAUGCUCAUUAGUUUAAUUACGAAGCCCCCCCAGGCCAAGGCAGAUCCCAUACAGACACACGAGACCCUCCUUGCUGCUAUGGUGGCAGCUGAAAGAGCCCGGUACAACCAAGCACCGAGCUCUUUUCCACUUCCCUUCCUACUCUUUGUCUCCUGCACCUCCCCGGUUCUUCAGCUGCUGGAUUGUUUCUCGUCUCUGAUGUAAAAGGCUGGUUCUUACCAUUCCUGAUGCACACUGCUGCUUUCUGACCUGCUCUUGCCUGGUCUCCCUGAAGCAUUAGCAGACGGAUUGAAGUCUGGCAGUGUCUGCUCCUCUACCCACUUCUGAGCACGAAGGUGAAGAGCUACAGAGAAUGAGAGUUGUUUCCUGAAAUAAAAAAAUAAAAUAAAAUAAAAUAAUAAUAAUAAAAAGCAAGCC
Molecule: long non-coding RNA, 2527 nt
Organism: Cygnus atratus (black swan)
Lineage: Eukaryota; Metazoa; Chordata; Aves; Anseriformes; Anatidae
Exons: 5
Source: RefSeq, a predicted model, not a curated record